RNAcentral lists this ribosomal RNA (252 nucleotides) under uncultured bacterium. RNAcentral's name for it is "partial 16S ribosomal RNA". It matches the Rfam family "Bacterial small subunit ribosomal RNA", at positions 524 to 775 of the family's 1533-position model. The record is from RNAcentral.
UACAGAGGGGGCAAGCGUUGUUCGGAAUUACUGGGCGUAAAGGGCGCGUAGGCGGCCUGCUAAGUCGAACGUGAAAUCCCUGGGCUCAACCCAGGAACUGCGUCCGAUACUGGUUGGCUUGAAUCCGGGAGAGGGAUGUGGAAUUCCAGGUGUAGCGGUGAAAUGCGUAGAUAUCUGGAGGAACACCGGUGGCGAAGGCGGCAUCCUGGACCAACACUGACACUGAGGAGCGAAAGCCAGGGGAGCAAACGG